Molecule: long non-coding RNA, 21295 nt
Filed under: Malus domestica (apple)
Lineage: Eukaryota; Viridiplantae; Streptophyta; Magnoliopsida; Rosales; Rosaceae
Description: long non-coding RNA (MDOM_LNC002384)
Source: RNAcentral
GAAAGUUGGAUCAUAAGUUGUGUAAGGAAAAAUGAUGUGAAAGUAUUUAAAACCACAUCUGGUGUAUUGCAGCCGGCCAUCGUCAUUUUUUUUUCCUUCUAUCUACUUGAGAGAAAAUUGAGAAAACAUUCAGAACUCGAUCGACAUGGAAGGGAAGCUUGCAGAAACUGUGUUUACUUUUUCUGUUGAGGGAAUACUGUCGAAAGUGGCGUCACUUGCUGCUCAAGAACUCAGUCUCGCUUGGGGUUUCAAAGCUGAACUCAAACGGCUUCGCCAGUCAUUACUCAACAUUCAGGAUUUCUUGGGAGCUGUUUCCAACCAACCAUAAGAUCGGGUCAAGGCGGUGGAGGAGUGGGUGAUGAAAUUUAAAGGUAUAGCUCAUGAUGCUGACGACGAUCUGAUGGAUGAGUUCGACUACGAAGUGGUUCGCCGUAAAGUUGAACUCCAAAAUCAUAUGAAGAGAAAGGUACUCAACUUCUUUUCACUCUCCAAUCCACUUGCAUUUUGUUUGAAAAUGGCACAUAAAAUUCAGAAGAUCAACCAGUCCUUGGUAGAUCUCAAGGGCGAGGCCGCUUUCAUUGGUCUAGUUUCCAAGAAAAUAGAUGCAACCCCUCAGGAAUCUAGAUGGGACAGACAAACCAACUCACUCAUUGGCAGAGAUGAAAUAACCGUUGGAAGGGAAAAGGUUGUGUCAGAAAUAGUCACAACCUUGACCGACUCCCGAAGCAACCAAGAAAAUCUUGCGGUUAUGGCCAUCGUGGGAAUGGGAGGCCUCGGUAAGACAACAUUGGCCAGGUCAGUUUACAAUGAGAAUUCGAUACACAAGUUCUUUGAAAAGAGAAUAUGGAUUUGUGUAUAGAACGCUUUUGAUGUCAAUUUAAUUCUACUCCAGAUGUUAGAAUCUCUUAACCCUCCAAAAGCUCCUUCAAAAAAUAACUAGAAUGCAAUUCUUACAAACCUGAAAGAAGAGUUGGAAGAUAAAAGAUACUUACUCGUACUUGAUAAUGUUUGGAAUGAAGAUCCUAAAAAAUGGGAGAAUUUGAUGGAAUGUUUGUCAAAGCUUUUUUUUGCUAAAGGAUCCAAAAUUGUUAUCACUACUCGCAGUGGCAAAGUUGCAUCAAUCUCUGAAAAACUACUUCCACGACAUGAUGUGGGAAAACUUUCUGUGAAUGAAUGUUGGUCCAUUAUGAAAGAUAGAGCUUUCCCCAAUAGUAGUGCUCAUAUAGCUCCUGAGUUUCAAACAAUUGGAAGGGAGAUUGCUAAAAAUUGUGGUGGUGUUCCAUUAGUGGCAAAUGUGCGUAUUAUUAUUAAGGAAAACUAAUGAAAAAGACUUGAAAACUUUGAAUUUUAAUGAUAAGGACAAAAUAAAGGGUAAAGUGAAUAGUAUCAUGAUUGACUUUUUAGUACAAAAAUAUGUUUUUUCGUUAAAGUAAACAGUACCGGGAGCUUUUCGUUAAAGUUCCCUUAUUAUUAUGUAUCAUAACAUGGAAUUUGCUCCCUUUUUAUUUUUAUUUGUUUACAUGUUUUCAUUUAUAAAUUAAGACAAUACUUGCAUCCGCACCAUGGGGUACACCACCUUAUCAAUUAAAUUAGUUAAGCGACUUAAAUUGGAUGAAUUAUUUUGUUAUGACUCAAAUUGGAUUUGUUAGGCUAUCUCCAAUCUAAUAGGUAAUAGUUAAAACUUUAAAGUCAAUUUUAAUGUUAAAUUUGACUCUAAAAUUGACUUGGCUUGAACUAUGUGUAGGAAUUAGCUAGGAUUGGUUAGGAUUGGACUUUAUUUUGUCUUAUAUUUGGUGUUAACUUUGGAUUGGAAAGAGGAUAGUUCCUAAAUUAUUACCUGAGUGAAAAUUAGUUUCUUAAAUUAUUUUUCCGGAAAAAUUAGUCCUUAAACUAAUAAAAAUAUGUCAAUUACAUCGCUAAUAUUAGAUUCGAAGUUAAUAUUCAACUUUUCGUUAAUUUAAGUCAUGUGACUUGCAUGUGAUACACUUUGGAGGUAGACUGGAAGGUGUUUAUAGUUUAAAGACCUUUUUUUUUCCGAAGAAUUGUGAAGAAAUAGUGUAUGAAAUAAACUUUGGAGGGUAAAUUAGAUGUUAGAUUUGUAACUUAUAUGCAAUAUUAAGGUCUUAUAGGCAAGAAAAUGACAACAUUACCCUCUAAAAUGCAUGAGGUGACUUAAGUUGACAAAAAAUUGGAUAAAAUAGCUUUCAAUAUAAUAUUAGAGAUGAAAUUAUCAGUUUUUAUGAAUUUAGGGACUUAUUUUACCAAAAAAAUAAUUCAAUGACCUAAUUUUCACUGAAGUGAUAAUUGUUUUUUUGAAAGGGGUUAAAUAACGAAGUUUAAGGUGGUGCAAGUCUGGCCACUUAGUACUAUGAUCUAGUGGUAUUCCUCUUCACUUUUAAGUUAAAUGUAUUAGGUUCGAUUUACGGCAAAGGCAAAUUUGAAUCACAUUAUUACUAGAUUAUUGUGAGACAAGCCCACCCCCUCCUCCUUAAUGUAGACAAUAUCUUUUCUUUAAAAACAAAAACAAAAGGUGGUGCAAGUCCGGAUUAAUCCGGUUCUUAUAUAGUCCCAUGUUUAGCAAAAGGCGGAUAUGUGUUAAAUAGGGUAAUCCGGAAAGUUAAUUCAGUGAAACAAACAUACCUGAAGUGUUAUGUCAUACUCGAUGCACAUUAAAUAAGAGUCAAAUAUAAUGUUUGACGUCAAACGUAUAGUCAUAUCUGACUAUUUGAGACAAAUUUAAAAUCAAAUAUGACUUUGCACUUAAUUCUAGAGUCAUAACUCAAAAUUUUUUUAUGCAUCAGAUAGAGUUGAGCCAAAUUUAAUAUUUAAGUUUUAUGUACAUUGAAAAUAGCCUUAGGUCAUGUAUUUUCUAUACUGUUUUAGAACACCUUGAAAAGUUUAUAUCUAACUAAGAAACUAUUUUUUGUUUCUGUCAUAUUUUUCUCCUUAUUUUUCAUCCGAUAUAAAAGAAAUGGUGGAGAACAUUAUGCAGUUCGCACAGAUCCAAAAAUCGUUGUAGUCAUAGUUAAACUACUUUACUCUAUUAAUCGAUGGAAACUCAAUAAUUCAAUCAACAGGUUUUGGGAGGCAUUUUGCACACUAAAAAAAGUAUUGAAGAAUGGUCGAUUUUUAAAGACAGUAGAAUAUGGGACAACCAAGGUCUUAAAUGCCGAUAAUAUCGGCGAUAUUUCGCCAAUAUUAUCGGUUUUUCAUGGUAACGAUAUUUUAAUAGGUAUCCAAUGGGUUUUCGUCAAAAUAUCGCGAUAUUUCCGAAACUAUCGCGAUAUUUUGGAACUGUGCUAAUCGGAGAAGAACAGGAGAAGAACGCCGGAGCUUCUACAGCUCCGCCCGACUGUAAAAGAGCACCCUAGACUCCGAUCUAGGUAUCAAAAUGAAAUAGAAGAUGAGAUGAAUGUUUUUAUAAAGUCUGUUUGCCGUGAAACAGUCGGAGGUGUUCGGAAAGUUCGUCGACACCCACGGCCUCGCCGGAGAUGGGUGUGCCUAUUCCCGAGCCGAUUUCGUCCCAAAAACCUUGCAAAAACACGAUUUUGAACUUAAAUUUCACAUAUAAGCUUCAAUCUAGAAUGGAAAGAGGCAAACCCGAAGCUUACAUAACCGGAGAAAUUCAAGAACCUCGCCGGAGUUCCUGCGUUCGCCGAGUUGCAGAGACGAGAAGGAGAGGGAGAAAGACGAGGUUGCUGAUGAUGAUGGGUGUCUUCCUGAAGCAGGUGCGAUGGUGUGCGUGUGUGUAUGUGGGUCUCGGACCCUCGGUGCAGAGAGAAAGAAGAGAGAAGGCGCCGACGAGGGAGGAGCAGAAGGCAAUGUGGGAGAAGGAUCGAGAGACCUUGGGUCUCCGUGCAUGUGUGUGGGAGAUCUCUGUGUGUGUGGGGGAGAAUGGAGAAGGGGAAGAAGGGAGAUCAGAGAAGAGAGAAGGAUCGAGAGAGAGAGACUGUGUGCGUGUGUUGUGUUGUGUUGUGUUGUGUGCGUGUGUGGUGGCAUGUCGGUGUGUGUGUGUGGUUGGGUCAUCUGACUCACACUCACCUGACAACUUUUACAAUCACUUUUUACAAUUUCAGACCAUGGACAAAAAUGAGUGCUUUCAUAAUGAAACCGUGUGCCACUGUGAGUCUGUGAUAUUCUUUCACAUUCAAAACCGUGUGCCACUGUGAGUCUGUGAUAUUCUUUCACAUUCUCAGAGGUGGAGUAUCAGAGCCAUUCAGAGCAUUUUCGUUUCUUCUUCUUCCCUUACCCUUUUCAAAGCCAUUCCAGAUUCAUUCCAGAGCUUGAACACAAAGGUUCCAUAUUUAAAGUAAGUUUACAAAUUUAUAUUUAUAUUAUUGUAAUUUAUACAACAACAAAAAAAAUUGUGUGGACUCGUAUGUUAAUUUUUUAAGUAAUUAAUACUUGCAUGUUAAUUUUUGUAAGUAAUUAAGUAAUGUUAACAAUUACAUGUUAAUUUUUUUAAGUAAUUAAGUAAUGUUGUAUAAUUAUUCCCUAGGAUAAUUUUAAUAUGUUUAAUGUUAUUUAUUAUUUUAUUAAUAUUAGGUUUGAUUAUCAAUUUGGAUUAUUAUUCAUUAAUAUUAGGUUUUUUUUAAUAUCAAAUUGGAUUAUUAUCAAAUUGGAUUAUUCAUUAAAUUGGAUUAUUAUUAAAUUGGAUUAUUAUCAAAUUGGAUUAUUAUUCAUCACUAUGUUUUAUAUUAGGAUUAUUUUUUUAUCAAAUUGGAUUAUUAUUCAUUAAUAUUAGGUUUUAUUAUUCCAUAUUAUUUUUAUAAUUACUUAAAUUUUUACAAUCAUUUUCUUUACUUCGUAUUUAAUUCUUCUGUAGAAUAACUUUAUUAUUUAGGUUCUCUUAUAUAACCGUCAUCACUACUAUAUUUUUUGGCCAAAAAAUAAUUGUCUAAUUUUCAUGAAAAAUAAAUAUAGGUACGUUUAAGAUGUCCAGUGGAGUUACUAAACGUGAUCAGCUUGGGAACAUGGAGACCCAAUAGACGGAAACAAACAUGGCACAAUUUGCAAAUAUUGUGGUCGGGUAAUGAAGAGUGGCGGAGUGACACGACUUAAGUACCAUCUUAGUGGAUUAGAUCCAGCAAAAAAUGUCCAACGAUGCGAUAAUGUCCCCCCAGAAGUGAAGGCAUUCAUCAGCACAUUAUUAAAAAAUAAAAAACAACAGAAGGAAAAGAUAACACAUGGAAUGGAAAAUAUUCGAGCUGGGCUACGAGGAGAAGUCUAUGGCCAAGCGGUUGACAGUGAUGAUGAUGACGAUGAGGACGAAUGUGAUGAUGACAUGGGACCUGAAGAACGACGCAGUUUGAAACAAGCAUUACGUGCCUCCAAAUAGUCAGCAUGGGAAAUAGAACACCUUCAUAAAAUUCCUAAUAGAGCACAAGGUUUCGGGACAAGUGGUGGUGCACAAAUGAGACGGGGAGGCAGUCUUAGAGAAUCACAACCAACACCACCAAUAACCACAAGUUUAUAUAAGUCAUCCAAAGCACGUCAAAAGAGUGUUUGAAGUUAUUUCACUGGAGGUAAUGUGAAGGAGGGAAUGGGGCGUCUAAUUAGCAAGUUCUUUAUCUAUGAAAAUGUCCCUGCUGAGAAAUCAUCAUCACAUCAUUUCAAAAAUAUGGUAGUGGGAUGUCAACAGGCCGGUGUUGGAGUACAACAUCCCACUCCCUAUGAGAUAAGAAACAAAUAUUUGGAUAUGGAGUAUAAAGACAUUGGCGAGUAUGUUAACAAGUUGAGGUCAAAGUGGGAAACUAAUGGUUGCACAAUCAUGUGUGACGGAUGGAUUGGCCCGACCAGAUUGUCUAUCAUAAACUUCAUGGUAUACUCCAAGGGAAAGACAAUUUUUUUGAAGUCUGUUGAUGCUUCAGACCAUAUAAAGAACUACAAGUAUAUUUACAAAUUAUUGAGGGAUGUAAUCAUGGAGGUGGGAGAGCAUAAUGUUGUCCAAGUCGUGAUCGACAACGGUUCUGCAUUUGUCAAAGCUGGAAAAAAGUUAAUGAAGCAUCAUAAUGUGUUUUGGACAUCAUGUGCAGCACAUUGUAUUGAUCUCAUGUUUGAGGCAAUGGGGAAGAGAGAGAAUGUUGCUACUGUGGUAAAAAGAGCUAGAACGAUCACAAAUUAUAUUUACAAUCAAGGUUGGUUGUUGGCAAAGAUGCAUGAAUUUUGCAAAGGAAACAUUAUUCGUCCAGCUACCACUCGAUUCACCACCAACUAUAUUGCAUUAGACAGCCUACUUAAGAAGAAAGCAAGGUUGAAGCAACUAUUCACUAGUGACGAUUGGGCCAACCACAAUUUGAGCCGCUUAAAUGCAGGUCGUAUGGUGGAAAGUAUAGUGCUUGAUCAUGCUUUUUGGACACAAUCAGAACAUGUGUGCCAAGUGUUUGAACCUCUUUACAAAGUUUUACGAAUCGUUGACACAGAAGUGUAUCCUACUAUGGGGGCAAUAUAUGAGUUGAUGCGUGUAGUGAAGGAUGAAUUGGAAAGAAAACAUGGUGCAAGGUGGGUCAUAAAGAUAAUUGAAGACCGAUGGUAUAAAACAUUAUACCACGAUUUGCAUGCAGCAGGUAUAAAUUAUGUCAUAAUUUGCAAUUCAUUUCUUUAGUUGCAUAAAUAUUAUUUCUCUUAUUAGAGUAUGUGUUUCUUUGAAUAGCAUAUUAUUUGAAUCCUCGAUACCAAUACAGACCCGGUGUUGGAGAUGAUGGUACCCUUAUACGUGAUGUACAUAAUGUAUACUCUAAAUUAGACCCUGCAUCACCAGCAGUUGGCCAAUUUGGAAAUGAGGUACACAAUUACUUAAAUUAUAAUAAUUACUUUGUUGGAUUAAACUAACACGAUUUAUUGAAUUCAGCUAACAUGGUUUAAAGAUGCAAGAAGAACUUUUGGAGAACUAACAUCAGUUGCUGCUCGAACAAAAAUGUCUCCUAGUGAGUGUAAACAUAUUUCUCGAUAAGUUUAUAAUAGAAUUUGUUGGAGUUAUUAGGCUUACCGACAUUGUUUUUCAUUGUAGCUGAAUGGUGGAUCAUGUAUGAGACAGAUGCACCAACUGUGAGAAAGUUAGCAAUCAAAGUAUUAUCACAAACAACUUCUUCAUCUGCUUGUGAAAGAAAUUGGAGCACAUUUGCACUCAUACACACAAAGCAAAGAAAUAGGUUGGCUCAUAGUCGGUUGGAAAAAUUAGUUUAUUACUACUAAAACAUGAAGCUUCAAAUUCGGGAUAAGGAAGCAGAAAUAGAUCAUGUCGACUGUGGUGACCUACUAGAUGUGUUUGAUAUUGUUGCUGAAGAUGAUGAUACAGAGGGUAACCAACUUUAUCAAUGGAUUAGACCUCUUCAUUUAGAUGAUGAUGAAGGCAACCCAGCUCCCAUAGUUGCUGAAGAAGCACGUAAUGAAGGGAUAAAUGUAGAAAGAGUAUUAGCGGAGGAGGUGGGAUCUAGCAGCGCUGACUCUUUGGAAGAACAUUUGCGCCCAAGACCAAGAAACACUGGAAUUCCACCUUCUUCCAAUCCUACACAACCACAGCAUCGUGCUGAUACUAAUGAUAGCUCUAGUACAAGAUUAGGAGGAUACUCACCUACCACCGGAGGUAGGAAUGAUGAAGGAUAUAGUGGAGCUGGAGGUAGUGGUGGUGGAUAUGGAAACUAUGUUGGACCACCUCUCGGAUUUAUGAGCCCCUUCACUGGUGAGGCAAACUUCACGCAUGCAACACAAGAUGAGGACCAUGGCAGUAGGCGGGCAGAACCAGGAAUUGGUGUCAUAGGGAAGGACUAUACUCGUAGAGAAAGAGGCAAGAGGAUUUUGUCAAGUCAAGAAGAUGAUUCGUUAUCUAUAACUUCAGACUCUGUUGGAGUGGGAAGUAGUAACUAUGGUUAUACUCAUAACCAACCAUUUCCCUACCCUUCAUAUCCCAUUCCUGUUGGGAUGGAAUCGAGCGACUCAUGGAAACAAUUCGAGACUCAAUCUUCAAAUGAUUUUGCUUAUGGACAAGGUCAACCAAUCUCGGAUCCAUAUGGGUGGCAUGUUAACAAUUAUAUGCAAAACUAUUUUGGGGAUUUAUCAUUUGAUAACUACUCUUCACAAUACACUCACUCUACACAUAGAGAUGAUGAAGAUAGUGAAAAAUUUGAACCUUAUAGGAACUCUAUGUGGUACUAAGUCACUCUUGUAUCUUACCAUGCAAUGUAUAAAGUGUAAAAUAUUGUACUAAUUCAUUAUAUAUAAAUGAUUAUGGUGUGUAAACUUCUUUCAUUAAUUACUACAUAUUUUCUACACUCAUAAUGUUUGCCAGCUCGUUAUAUAAUCAACUUGAUAAUGUUAAAUCCAUCAUGCAAUGCAUUUCCUUCCAAUUUUUUGUGAUAAACUAAUAGAUAAUUGACUAAAUAAACAUCCUGCAAAGUUUCAAUAAAAAUUUCCAAGUUUUUCUUACAAUUUCCGUGGUUUCCAUAUUAUUUUUAUCGAUAUCGAUAUUAUCCCGAUAUUUCCAUCGAUAUUUCCAUGUUUUCGGACUACCGAUAUUUCCGAUAUCAUCGAUAUUUAAUACCUUGGGGAUAACAUAUCAAAAGGAGGAGAUAGAAUUAUGCCAGUCUUGAAGUUGAGUUUUGACAAUUUAGAUUCACCAUAAUUGAAGCAAUGUUUUGCAUAUUGCUCAUUGUUCAAGAAAGAUUUUGAAAUUCAAAGAGAUAACUUGAUUCAACUUUGGAUGGCUCAAGGACUACUCCACCCUUCACUUGGCAAAAGUAAAGAUAUGGAGGACAUAGGCAAUGAAUAUUUUGAUAUUUUAUUCCAAAGCUCCUUAUUUCAAGAUGCUACAGUGAGUGACAAUGUCAUUGUAUCCAAAUCCUAAAGCUUGACGAGUGACUUAUGUGGCAUAGAUAAUACACUUGAUAUUCGACUUGUUGCUCGGGUUUCUACUUCCUUGUUGAAUAAAAUUCCAAAAAUAAGUGCUAGGAAGUUGCGGUCGCUGUUUUUCGACGGUGGUGAGGUUCCUAGUAACAUUCUUCCACGAUUCGCAGCUUUGCGCAUCUUAAACUUAAGUAAUGCUAAUAUUGAAGAAUUUCUAAUUUCAGUUGGAAGGAUGAAACACUUGAGGUAUCUUGACAUUUCCAAAACAAGAUUCAUAGCACUCCCCAACACUAUAGGUAAGCUCUAUAACCUACAGACGUUAAAAGCAACAAAUUGUGCGCUUAAAGAGUUUCCAAAAGAAUUGCAAAACUUGAUCAACCUGAGACAUAUUUAUUUUGAUGAGAGUACGAAAUUUCCGCAGGGGAUAAGGCGGUUGACUUGCCUUCGAACAUUACUUUGCUUUUCAGUGGGUAAUGAGAUUGGUCGUCGAAUUGAAGAGUUGGUUGACUUGAAACAAUUGAAAGGUGAAUUAAUUAUUUGUAAUCUGGAGCACGUAAAGAAUGGAGAAGCAAAGAAAGCUAAGUUGGAGGAUAAGACGAAAAUAUGGCAUUUAAGAUUCAAAUGGACAGAAGAUAGGUCAAUAACCAACAACAAUGAGGAUGAGGAUGCAUUGGAAGGCCUUCGACCGCAUUCUAAGUUAGAGAGCUUAUAUAUUGAAAAUUUCAUGGGCGGUAAGUUUCCAUCGUGGAUGAUGAGUAGGUCAUUACUGCUCAACAACUUGAAGAAGAUUCAGUUACUUGGAUGCAACAAAUGUGAAGGAGUCCCACUGCUCGGUCAUCUAGCCAAUCUUACAGAGCUUAAGAUUGACAGUAUGGCUAACUUGAAAUGUGUUGGAGCUGAGUUCUAUGGUUAUGAUUUUGUCCGCAAUGUAGCCACGACAAGUAAGGAUAUAAUUUCUUUAUUUCCUGCACUAAAAGUAUUAAAUAUUUCUAGGUGUGGUGAUCUAAUUGAAUGGAUGGAAGCACCAACAGUGUCAACACAAAGAGUAGUGGCUUUUCCUUGCCUCGAGAAGUUGGAUAUCCAAUAUUGUUCCAAGUUGAGAAAUGCUCCAAGUCAUUUUCCAUUUCUUCAAAAGUUGGUGAUCAUUUCUAGUGAGAGCGGAAAACUAAUAGAAGAAGUAAGCAAUGGAGUAACAACUAUCACUUCCCUCGAAAUUAAAAAUAUUAAGGAGCUUACGUGUUUGCCGCAAGGGAUGUUGAAGAACAACAAUAAUCUCUCAUAUGUAUUUGGUUGUUGCUGUUCUCUUGAGAGAUUGGUUAUUCGUAAUUGUGAAAAGCUGAGGCAUUUGGCGGAUGGGCUAGAUACACUCCCUCUUCUUGAGGAAAUGACCAUUAAGAAAUGUCCUAGUCUAGAGUUGAUUCCAAUUACACAGGGCAUGGCAUCUCUUCGGGAAUUAAGUAUUGGUUAUUGUGAACGAUUGUCAAGCCUACCGAGUGGGUUAGAGUAUUGCACCUUUCCUCCAAAAAGUGAAAAUUUGGGAAUGUAAUGGACUAUCAGGCCCACUGAGUGUAUGGGCCUCUCUUGUGGAAUUGAUAGUAUGGAGAUGACAUCAAUUGAAAUUAAAUGCGGCGUUACCACCUCGCUUCAGAAGUUGAGAAUCUAUGGUUGCACAGAAUUAUCAAGCUUACCUGCUCUUCCACAACAAUGUUCCUCUCUUGAGGCAUCGGAGAUAGGUAGUUGCCCAAAGAUAGCAUGGUUUGGUGUCCAAAGUAGCAGCAUUAGUCUACAAUCUUUUUCAGAUUUGCGCACCAUGACUUCCCUUCGACAUCUGUGGAUUGAAGAUUGUGAAAGAUUAGAAAGUUGGGUGAGCGGUCUGCAAUUUCCACUCUCUCUUGAGGGGCUGGCAAUAAAGGGUUUCCCUAAUUUAUAGAUUCUUCCAAAUUUAGACAACCUCACUUCUCUCCGUUGUUUGGAGAUUGUAAAGUGGCCAAAGUUAAAAUAUCUACCGACGAGACUACACUGCCUCCCGCGCUUGAAGGAUUUGAGCAUCGGUGUGGAGACUUUGACGGAGUGGAGACUUUGACCAGCCUGCAAUUCCCACUCUCUCUUCAGACGCUGAGAUUACAAUGUUUCCCUAAUUUACAGAUUCUUCCAAGCUUAGACAACCUCAAUUCUCUCAGUCUUUUGAUUAUCGGUGGGUUCUGGGGGGAGCUCGAUUCCUUCCCUGAUUUUCAAGUUGGAUCAUUAAUGCACCUGACCAUUUUACAUUUGAUCGGUUGGCCGAAGCUCAAGUAUCUGCCUAAACAAAUUCAACACCUCACUUCCCUAACAUCAUUGUGGGUAAUUUUUUUUUUGGACAAACUGCAAUACUUUUCCAUUAAACAAAGAGACUAAUACAAGGAAAAGAUAGCCCAAAAACAUCUCACAACUGAAAUACAAGCCCAGCGGGAAAGAGCAAAUACAGCACAAAGCCCAAAAGGCAUAGCAAAAAAGUAACAGAAACCCUAAAAAUAAAGAGGAAACCAGCAUCCACCACCAAAUCUUACGCGCCUCCAUCGGAAAGCCACCACCACCAAAAAUCGAACCAAAAGCAGCAACCGGAUCAACGGAAAAUGGGGGUGAGUGAGCCACCCGCGCUGUGAGCAGCGCUCCCAUAAUCCUACUAAAUAGUGCACAAAGCACUUUAACAGUCACCAAAAACCCAAGCACGUCACCGAGGAGAAGCACCCGGGGUUGAGUAGCAGUGGUUGGUAGUUGUGGACUCACGAUGGAAGGAAACAUCGGAGCAGGAGAGGUGUCUACAGAAUGGUUGGGUAAUUGAAUUUGAAGGAGUGGAGACUUUGCCAGAAUGGUUGGGUAGCCUUACAUCCCUUACAUAUCUGAUAAUUAAAGAUUGCAAGAAUCUGAUGAAUUUGCCUAGUGUCCAAGCUAUGCAAUGCCUCACCAAAUUACGCACACUGCGGAUUUAUAAUUGUCAUCCCUUUCUAAAGCAAAGAUGCACCAAGAACAGUGGCACAGAUUGGCCUAAAAUUUCUCACAUUCCAGAUAUCACAAGUAAGUUUUUAACUUGUUGAAAUGAUAUUACAGAGUUCAUGUUAAUUAUAUGUUUAUCUCUUUUGUUCGUUUAUUCAUCUCAACUACUACAUAAUAGUUUAAACUAGUAUACCAAAUUUUUUUAAUCCUUUUCCCUCUUCUUUUAAAUCAGUUGACUGAGUCUCACAUCAGUUGGAUGGAAGGUAGGCAGCACCUUACCAAACUACAACAAAUUUGUAUUCGAAAAACCAAAUUUCAUGGUGUGCAAGGCCACACUUCUCCGAGAUUUCUUGUAUUCCAGUUGUAUGUACAAACGACUCCAAAUGGCUCCAACUUCCACAUUGAAAUGAAUUCGUGUAAGUUUUCAAAUCCGCACCUCCUCUUCUCUUCUAAAUGCAUUCUGCUCUUGACUUUUCACUUACUAUAUAUGUUGUGUUUUCCAGCGGCAUCUAUAUUUCUUUUGGCAUGCUGUAGCGUUUUUCAGGAUGCUCAAUAGCUGCAAAUUGAGUACAGGUACUGAUGCACAAGAUAUAAAGUUUCUCGCUCAACCUUCAUUUCUCAAUGAUAAACCUCAAGUUAUACUACUUAUCAAGGUAGCAAGCCUCUUAAUUACCCCUUCAUGGUAUUGAACUUUUUUAAUCAAAUAUUUCUAGAACCCAGGUAAAAUCAUGUUCUUAUAGUAUAUAGAACUGCUGAAAUUGCUUUCUGUUCGUUAUUAUCCUUAUAUACGAAGAUAUUGGACAGAUAUAUUUAUGGUUACUUGUGAAAUCUGAACUGAUUUUUUGAUCGUAUGAACUGUAAUUACAUUGUAAAAUACCCGCAUUAUCGCGAGAUUAGAUAAAAGAAUCUUCAGUUGCAAUGCUAGAUGAUAUUUUCAAGCUCUCUGUACUAUCAGUUGAAAAGUUAAAAUUUGUUCUGUACUAUAUAUUUCCUAAGUUGUUUUGUUGUUAAAUUUGACCAGGCAGAAUUGGGAGUCUGGUAGAAACUCUUGACCGAACAUUCCUAAUUUAGACAAACUGGGAAGCGCUCAUCCCUUUAAUUACACUGGAUCAACAUUCUUUGUUCGAUACUUAUCAGUUUGAAGGCUCGGCUCUCCAUCCUAUUCCCAAUAAGUGGUGAGUUGUGGGCUACAAAUUAAUGCAAGUCUCUACUUGAGGGAGUAGAGGCUUUGCCAGAUCAGUUGGGUAACCUUACAUCCUUGUAGAGUUGGAAUAGUUUCAAGCAUUUUAGUACCAGAAAGUUGGAACUUGUUCUUUAUAUUUUUCUUAAGUUCUUUUGUGUUUUCUUUGUACAGGCAGAACUGGGAUGCCAUUCAAAACUUGUGCGUGGAUCAGUAUCAUUCUUCAACUUUUCCCAUCAUGCUUCCUUAUCAUCAAAUCCUAAUUUGGAUACAAAUUGGUAAUCUUUUAUCUUUUCGAUUCCAACUGGUCAAUAUUCUCUGUUGAUACUCAUCCAAAUCCAAAUGUAUCCUUAUGAGUUUGCAGAGAUUUUAAUUCGGUUGAUUUUUUAUGUUGUGUGGAUCCUUAGAAGCUUGGGCUUCGUAGUGUCCCUUGUGCCCUGCAUUGCUGUGAAAGGCGAGUGCAAGAAGCAGCCAACUGUUGAAUAGAGGGAGAGCUUGAAAUUGAAAGUGGAAAAACUAUUGUACUACCCUAAUUGUAACUCUCUUUCUCUCUUCAGUUGCUCUCUUAAAGACUCUUAUGCUCAUUUUGAAAUGUAACCUACAAAUUAUAGUAAAAACCAGAGAAACUACUAAACAUGGACGCAGCUUAGGUUACACAUGCAAAACAAAGUUUGCUCUGAUGCUUGUAAAAUAGUAUAUUCUUUUACAUGUAAUGCCAUGACGAUAACGAUGUCGAUGCAGGCCAAUAGUGGGUACUUUGGGUCACUCUUCCUGAUGGUGUUUGCUCAUCAUUGUCUCAACACCUUAGCAUUUUGCAGAGCUUUCUUCGUGCUGUGAAGGUAACACUGUCUCCUUUGAACCACUUUCUUAUAAAGGAUUAACAAUUUUAUCUUUGAGAACUAAUCGUGUUUAUAAUAAAUUGGGCAUUGCAGAUAUGAAGGAAGUAGUCUAUGUUAUUUUAAGCUGAAAAUUCAAGCUGCAAACAAGUUACUCCUACAAACAUAUGUGCAUUCUCUGCCCCAAUUUUCUUGGAUAAAAUAUGACAUCUUUCCUUUUUCUGCAGUUGUGUUGUAGUGGAGAACAUCGACAUAAGCCUCGCCGCAGCCAAAGUUGCUGGAAUGAAGUGUAUCGCAACCAAAAGCGGGUAACUUUUUUACAUAUGAACAAAUGAAGAGUGCUUCCAUAUUUCCCACCUUCUUGACAUCUCAGAUUAUACUUAAAUUUGUUAGAAAGUUUGUCGGCAUUAGUUGAGAUGAGUGUAAUCUUUGCUAGUCAUGUAUGUCAAAUUUGGGUAAUCAAAUGGUAAACAUGUUCACUUAAUCGCUUAAAAACUCCGGUUUCAGGUACACAGUAGAAGACGACUUUCAACAAGCAAAAGCAGUCUUUGACUUCAUUGGAGAUCCCCGGAGGAGCGAUUUGACUGGGGAUUCUGCAGAAGACGGUCCUCCAUCUACAAUACCUUGGAUGGUGAUUAGGGUUUCAGCUAAGAUAAGCGACAAAUACCAAUAUGCAUUCGUUAGUAAUCCUGAUGUUGAUAUUCCUGUUGAAGUACAAAUUAGCUCUUCAAGGGCUUUCAUUGGCGAAUCUCUGGGUGGUGAACUAUUACAAGGGGCUUUCUAUUGCCAAGGCAAACUAAUUGGGAAUCAUAACCUAAGAAUUUCUUCCGCGGUGAAUCAUGUACCUUCUUGUAGGAGUUGUUUUAUUUGAUUUCCCAUAUUCUAGAUUUGAGCAAACAGGACCACCUAUAGAACAGAGAAAUCAUAUAGGCAAUGACCCUUAAUGCAGAGUGACCAAGCAGAGUUACUCCUAUGAUGCAUAUGGUCCGGUAAUGUAGAUUAACCAAGCAGAACCAUAGGUAGGAAUCCAAUAGUGUAGUCCUCUAAUGUGUAUUAACCAAUGAGGACCACUUAUAAAAUAGAGAAAUCAAAUAGGCAGUAUCUCACUAAUGCAAAUUAAUCAAACAAAACCACCCGUGGUAAAAAUUUCCCACCUUGUCAUAUUCUUGCAUGGUGGAGAUUCGUUUUACUUGUUAGAGAUUAAGUCUUCUCAGCAGUGGCCACUUGCACUAACCUUGCCGGCUAUGGUCUACGGCAUCGUUAGCCGGCCGGAUUUAAUUAUAUGUUUGACAGCAUCAUUAGCCGGAUUAAAUUAUAUUUGGCAGGCAGAUUUGGAUUCUUGUAGGCUUGUAGCCACUCCUCUUCACAAUUGUGGGAAUUUAAAUAUAUAUUUGACGGCCGGCCAGAUUUGGAUUCUUGUAGAACCGAUCAUGCAAAAUACAAACAAGCGGUUGGUGCAAGCCAUCACGUCCUCACAAAUGACCCACUCAUUAAUUAUACGAAUCUACCCCUCUGUUAUUGGAUGCACCACCUUUUUCACGUUAUAAAAUGUUAAACCAAUCCUAUCAUAUCAUCCUCCAUUGCGCUUGUAUUGAUAUUCGAGUAAUCUUGUAGUCCUAAUAUGAAAGAGUCUUUAUCUCUAAUUAACUAAUCACAUAAUCCUUAUUUAGUAAAAUUUAUUAUGGUGGAACAUAAAAUAUAUAAUUGUGAUUACGAAUCUCUCUCAUUUUAUAAUAUGAUUGAUUGAAAGAUAUCAUAAUAACUAUAUAUAGAUUAUCCCUGUCCUCACAAUAAUCGUUCUAUUAUGUACUAAUAUAGUUUUAUAUUUUUAAUUUAUGUAUUACUAUCGGUUCGGUCGUGUAGAACAACCUCAUUGCCGGCCUUUGAUUAUUUUUCAGUUUCUUGUUUGUUUUUAAAUGUGUAGUUUUCUUGUAAUUUAUCAUUACAUUAUAAGACAUUUGAACAGACAUUUGAUACGUUCAGUAUUCAACAUUAUAAUGGGCAAUGCUAAUACAUUUUAUAUUUUAUAAUGUAUAUGUUACUAUCGGUUCAUGUAUAACAACCUUAUUGCCGGCCUUUGUUUAUUAUUUUAGUUUUCUCAUUUGUUUUUUAUAAGAUGUGUAGCUUGCUUGUAUUUUAUCAUCUAUGACAUUUGAACACACAGUUGAUGUGUUUAAUAUUUACAUUUUAAUGGUUUUCAUUGUUUUCCUUGACUAUAUAUUAGUCUAUUUAUCUUUUUAUUUCUAGUGUAUUUGCUAAGCCGGUCUUCUUGAGUGUAGUUGGGUAAGGCAACCGCCUAGGGUCCCGACUUUUGGGUGCUCCUAAUUUAUAUAUAUAUAUAUAUAUUAGUAUAUAAAUACUGUAAAAGUAAGAUGAAUAACAAAGAAAAUUUGGUGGCGUAGUGGAAAAGAAGACAUUUAUUUGGUUACCGUCUCCUGUUCUAAACAUGAUGGAGGAUUUUUUUUUUAUAAUUAAAAGGGCCACGCUAGUAAAGACUUCACAAACAAGCAUAUUCAAAUAGCCCCCGUAAAGUAAGAUAUCUUUGGUUCAAUUCUCGCCAAAUGUGAACCUGAACCACAUUAUUAUGGCAAGUUCAUUGUGAGGCCGAACACACUCUUUGAAAGCCUAAUCUAAUAACAAUUUAGAUUAUGUAAACAUAAUUAGUAGAUUUGAGAUACUUUUCAACACAGAAAGAGAUAGAAGACUCGGAUUUGAGAUACUUUUCAACACAUAAAGAGAAAAUACCACUAAACUACAAACUCUAAUUGGUAAAUUUAGUGCAGUGUUUAAGUUCUUAAUUAACAUCUAUGUCUCAUAGUGUUAUUUUACAUUAGCAAGGAAUAACAUAUACGAUUAAGUACAUUUUCAUCAGCCACUUAGUACUACGGUCUAGUAGUAUUCCUCUUCACUUAUAACUGAGAGGUCUUAGGUUCGAUUCUCGCCAAAGGCGAAUUUGAACCACAUUAUUGUUAGCUCAUCGUGAGGCUAAGCCUACCCCCAUCACCCUUAGUGUAAAUAAUACUGUUUUUUCAAAAAAAAAAACACACACACACAUUUUCACCACAUUAGAUGACCUAAUUAUAUAGUAAAUGAUUUUGCUAUAAUAACAACCUUCCCACAUGUCAAAGACAUAUAUGUUUUCCUUGAACAGACAUUUGAUACGUUCAGUAUUCAACAUUAUAAUGGGCAAUGCUAAUACAUUUUAUAUUUUAUAAUGUAUAUGUUACUAUCGGUUCGUGUAUAACAACCUUAUUGCCGGCCUUUGUUUAUUAUUUUAGUUUUCUCAUUUGUUUUUUAUAAGAUGUGUAGCUUGCUUGUAUUUUAUCAUCUAUGACAUUUGAACACACAGUUGAUGUGUUUAAUAUUUAACAUUUUAAUGGUUUUCAUUGUUUUCCUUGACUAUAUAUUAGUCUAUUUAUCUUUUUAUUUCUAGUGUAUUUACUAAGCCGGUCUUCUUGAGGGUAGUUGGGUAAGGCAACCGCCUAGGGUCCCGACUUUUGGGUGCUCCUAAUUUAUAUAUAUAUAUAUAUAUAUAUAUAUAUAUAUAUAUAUAUAUAUAUAUAUAUAUAUAUAUAUAUAUAUAUAUAUAAAUACUGUAAAAGUAAGAUGAAUAACAAAGAAAAUUUGGUGGCGUAGUGGACAAGAAGACAUUUAUUUGGUUACCGUCUCCUGUUCUAAACAUGAUGGAGGAUUUUUUUUUUAUAAUUAAAAGGGCCACGCUAGUAAAGACUUCACAAACAAGCAUAUUCAAAUAGCCCCCGUAAAGUAAGAUAUCUUUGGUUCAAUUCUCGCCAAACGUUAACCUGAACCACAUUAUUAUGGCAAGUUCAUUGUGAGGCCGAACACACUCUUUGAAAGCCUAAUCUAAUAACAAUUUAGAUUAUGUAAACAUAAUUAGUAGAUUUGAGAUACUUUUCAACACAGAAAGAGAUAGAAGACUCGGAUUUGAGAUACUUUUCAACACAGAAAAAGAAAAUACCACUAAACUACAAACUCUAAUUGGUAAAUUUAGUGCAGUGUUUAAGUUCUUAAUUAACAACUAUGUCUAAUAGUGUUAUUUUACAUUAGCAAGGAAUAACAUAUACGAUUAAGUACAUUUUCAUCAGACACUUAGUACUACGGUCUAUUGGUAUUCUUCUUCACUUAUAACUGAGAGGUCUUAGGUUCGAUUCUCGCCAAAGGCGAAUUUGAACCACAUUAUUGUUAGCUCAUCGUGAGGCUAAGCCUACCCCCAUCACCCUUAGUGUAAAUAAUACCGUUUUUUCAAAAAAAAAAAAAAAACACACACACACACACAUUUUCACCAUAUUAGAUGACCUAAUUAUAUAGUAAAUGAUUUUGCUAUAAUAACAACCUUCCCACAUGUCAAAGACAUAUAUAUUUCAUAAUGUAUAUGUUACUAUCGGUUCGUGUAUAACAACCUUAUUGCCGGCCUUUGUUUAUUAUUUUAGUUUUCUCAUUUGUUUUUUAUAAGAUGUGUAGCUUGCUUGUAUUUUAUCAUCUAUGGCAUUUGAACACACAUUUGAUGUGUUUAAUAUUUAACAUUUUAAUGGUUUUCAUUGUUUUCCUUGACUAUAUAUUAGUCUAUUUAUCUUUUUAUUUCUAGUGUAUUUGCUAAGCCGGUCUUCUUGAGGGUAGUUGGGUAAGGCAACCGCCUAGGGUCCCGACUUUUGGGUGCUCCUAAUUUAUAUAUAUAUAUAUAUAUAUAAAUAUUGUAAAAGUAAGAUGAAUAACAAAGAAAAUUUGGUGGCGUAGUGGAAAAGAAGACAUUUAUUUGGUUACCAUCUCCUGUUCUAAACAUGAUGGAGGAUUUUUUUUAUAAUUAAAAGGCCACACUAGUAAAGACUUCACAGACAAGCAUAUUCAAAUAGCCCCCGUGAAGUAAGAUAUUUUUGGUUCAAUUCUCGCCAAAUGUGAACCUGAACCACAUUAUUAUGGCAAGUUCAUUGUGAGACCGAACUCACUUUCUGAAAGCCUAAUCUAAUAACAAUUUAGAUUAUGUAAACAUAAUUAGUAGAUUUGUGCCUAAAAAUGUGAGACGUGUAUUAUCUAAUAAUGUUUGUAUAUCUUUCUUCUUUUAAUAUUAAUUUUUAAUGUUAUUUUAUGUUUAUGACAUUCCAAAAUUUUUUCCUAUUGCAACAGAUAGAUUGCCCUGGUGAAUAAGUCUUUCAUCUUCAAUUCACUGCAUUCAUAAUUCAAAAAAAAUUCCCCUCACCUUGCUCUAGUUUAAAAUAUUAAUAUCGUUUGUAAUUAAAGAAAAUCUUAUAUAUUAAUAUGAGGAAAAGUUGAAAUUUUAUCAUUCUAGGUCUUAACAAGAAUCAGCGCCCGUACUUCAACAGAGUCAUGUGCUCCGAACUUCCAUCUUUUCUUCUUCUGUUUCUCAAAAACUAUCACUCUCCUGUGUAUCUAGAAAUGUUCAUGAUUUUAUGAACUCAAUUUCCAAGCUGUUUUGUUUUCAUAAAAUUUCUAGUUUUCCAAGUUUAUAAAUUUUCAGAGUAAAAAAUCCUAACAAGUGGUUGGAUUGGAUGUAAACCAAUUCUGAUUUCCCUAUUCAAAACUUAACUCGGCAAGAGAUAUAGGGAGUCAGAGACAUUAUUUUCGAUUUCUCCUCCCGUAAAAUCGCUUUUAUUAAAAAAAAAACACAUUAACUUUCAUUUUUUAAGGGAAAAUAAAAAAUAAUUAUUUAAGUUAAAAAAAAUUAAAAAAUAAAAAAAAAAUAAAAAACCAGCUCAUGUGAUAUGUGUGAGAGGCUAAUAGUAGUGCUUUUAACUUUCUGUUGAGCCUUUCGGCAAAGCGAAAAAGUAAAGGACAGAAAAUUAGAGUAUGUUUGGUAUUUUAUUUGAGUCUAACUUUUUUAAUUAAAAAAUAAUUGUCAAGUUUUGGGUUUUAAAAACUUGUUUGUUAUAACUCUUUUUAAAAACUGAACUCAAGACUAACUAAAAAUAUAUAUAUUUUUCUCUAAAAACAUAAAAAAUGAAUUUAUAGAGUUUUUAAACUUAAAUUCACUCUUUUUUUUUCUCUCCCUCCUCCCAUCUCACUCCAAAUCUAUCUCUCUUUUUUCUUCUUUCUCUCUCCUUUUUUUUUUACCUUUUUCGUCACUCCUUCAAUCCGCUCUCUUCAUUAUCUCGAUUUUUUCUCUCACUCCUCUUCCUCUUUAUCUAUUCCUAUCCUCUCUCUUCUUUCUCUUUCCUUCAAUCAUCUCUUACUUUCUUUCCUCCUCUCUCCUCUUUCUCCCUUUCCUGAGACCACCUUUUUUUAGAUCUCUUUGUCUAUUUUAAGUCGCAAGAUUUUAAAAAAAUUAAAUCACAAACCAAUCAAGUUUUUUAAUCUUAAAAAAAUUAUUUUCAAGAAAUAUUCUUAAAAAAAUAUUUUAAGAAAUGAAACUUUUUAAAUAAGAUACCAAACAAACCCACAUUUUUCGCUUUCUUCUAUUUUUAACUUGGUAGAGAUUAAGCCACUUCUUUUGACUAUUGAACGAGGAGGAUCCCGUUCCACGUCUAAAGGAAAUCUAUCCUUUAAUUAUUGUUUUUUUUAUAGGAACCUUCCCCUCUAUUAUUGGACGUUCCACGUUUUUCAUGUUAUAAGAGAGAAAUUUAAACGCUGUAUUGUGUCUGGUGUCUCUCAUCAUAUCAUCCUCCAUUGCACUUGUAAUAUUGUAUUGAAGAGAGAAAUUUAAACACUCUGAUUAGCUGAGCUGAGCUGAGCUGAGCAGGGAAUUGAAGAAAUGGCUGAAGAUGUGCUUACUUUUGCUGCGGAGGGAAUACUGAACAAGGUGCUUUCACUCGCUGCUCAAGAAUUCAGUCUUGCAUGGGGUUUCAAAGCUGAACUCAGAAAGCUUCAAAAGUCAUUCAUCGACAUUGAAAGUUUCUUGGAUGAUGUUGCCAACCAACCACAAGGUAGUAUAUAUUUCUGGAUUCUCUUAUAAUCUCACACACACAUGCUACAAUUUAAUUACCAAUCUCAAGUACUGUUCUACUUUUUCAUUGUCUAACAGAAAAGAGCAAGUCAAUGGAGGAAUGGGUGAAGAACCUCAAAGACGUUGCUCAGGAUGCUGAGGAUGUCUUGGAUGAAUUCCAGUACGAAGUUGAUCGGCGUAAAGUCGAAAUCCAUAACCAUAUCAAGAAAAAGGUUCUUAACUUCUGUUCACUCUCCAAUCCACUUAAAUUUCGUCUUCAAAUGGCGCGUAAAAUACAGAAUAUCAAUGCAUCCUUGGUAAAACUCAAGAGUGAAGCAUCUUUUCUUGGACUAGUUUCCCAGAAUAAAGGUGCAACCCCUCAGGCAUCUAGAUGGGACCGACCAACCGACUCACUCUUUGUCGAAGGUGAAAUAACCGUUGGAAGGGUAGAGGUUGUGUCAGAAAUAGUCACAACCUUGACCGACUCCCAAAGCAACCAAGAAAAUCUUGCGGUUAUGGCCAUCGUGGGAAUGGGAGGCCUCGGUAAGACAACAUUGGCCAAGUCAGUUU